RNAcentral lists this ribosomal RNA (699 nucleotides) under Triticum aestivum (bread wheat). RNAcentral's name for it is "partial small subunit ribosomal RNA". Lineage: Eukaryota; Viridiplantae; Streptophyta; Magnoliopsida; Poales; Poaceae. The record is from RNAcentral.
AUGGCGUCGUCCGCGGAUCCGUGGGUGCGGGAGUACGGCGAGGCGGCGCGCCUGGCGGACGACGUCGCCGCCAUGGUCGCCGACCGGGCGGCGCUCCCGCAGUCCGGCCCGGAGGUCAUGCGCCACACCUCCGCCAUUCGCCGGAAGAUCACCAUCCUCGGGACCAGGCUGGACAGCCUCGAGGGGAUGCUCGCCAGGCUUCCCCCCAAAUCCAUCACGGACAAGGAGCUGAAUAAGCACCGAGACACGCUUUCAAAUUUGAAAUCUAGAGCAAAACAGAUGGCAGAAAGUUUCAACAUGUCGACCUUUGCCAACAGGGAGGAUUUGCUUGGUCAGAGCAAGAAAGCUGCUGAUGACAUGAACAGAGUAGCCGGGUUGGAUAACCAAGGGAUUGUUGGCCUUCAGAGGCAAAUCAUGAAAGAACAAGAUGAGGGUCUUGAGAAGCUGGAACAGACCGUGCUGAGCACAAAACAUAUUGCGUUAGCAGUCAAUGAGGAACUUGACCUGCACGCAAGACUGAUUGAUGACCUAGAUGAUCAUGUGGAUGGUACAAACUCGCGCCUUCAGCGUGUGCAAAAGAGGCUUGCGGUUCUGAACAAGCGCGCCAAGGGCGGCUGCUCCUGCAUGUCCCUGCUGCUGUCCACCGUCGGUAUAGUGAUGCUUGUGGUUAUUGUCUGGCUCCUCAUCAAGUAUCUGUAA